GAUGAACGCUAGCGGCAGGCUUAAUACAUGCAAGUCGAGGGGCAGCAUGACUGUAGCAAUACAGUUGAUGGCGACCGGCAAACGGGUGCGGAACACGUACGCAACUUACCCAGAACUGGGGGAUAGCCCUCCGAAAGGAGGAUUAACACCCCAUAAGAUAGUGGUGCGGCAUCACACAGCUAUUAAAACUCCGGUGGUUUUGGAUGGGCGUGCGGCUGAUAGGUAGUUGGUGUAGGUAACGGCUCACCAAGCCUGCGAUCAGUAACUGGUGUGAGAGCACGACAGUCACACGGGCACUGAGACACGGGCCCGACUCCUACGGGAGGCAGCAGUAAGGAAUAUUGGUCAAUGGACGCAAGUCUGAACCAGCCAUGCCGCGUGGAGGAUGAAGGCCCUC
RNAcentral lists this ribosomal RNA (397 nucleotides) under uncultured bacterium. RNAcentral's name for it is "bacterial SSU rRNA". It matches the Rfam family "Bacterial small subunit ribosomal RNA", at positions 28 to 419 of the family's 1533-position model. The record is from RNAcentral.